GGUCUCAUGGUGUAAUGGUUAGCACUCUGGACUCUGAAUCCAGCGAUCAGAGUUCAAAUCUCGGUGAGACCU
RNAcentral lists this transfer RNA (72 nucleotides) under Rhipicephalus sanguineus (brown dog tick). Its description in RNAcentral is "transfer RNA glutamine (anticodon CUG)". It matches the Rfam family "tRNA". From Rfam's summary of the family: Transfer RNA (tRNA) molecules are approximately 80 nucleotides in length. The record is from Rfam by way of RNAcentral. Lineage: Eukaryota; Metazoa; Arthropoda; Arachnida; Ixodida; Ixodidae.